Long non-coding RNA from Oncorhynchus tshawytscha (Chinook salmon), 864 nucleotides. The record is from Ensembl. Lineage: Eukaryota; Metazoa; Chordata; Actinopteri; Salmoniformes; Salmonidae.
AGCCCGACAAGCAACCAGAAACAAGCAACUCACGGUGGACUUCACUAAAAGAAAGACAACCGUCAGGGAUGAAAUUCUAUAAAACGUUUUUGUGACUUUGACGAUAAUAUCUGGAGUAUGGAAUGUUGGGGAGUUUUGACUGCGAUAGCUGCCGCUUGUCUGCUAGGUGUGGUGGUGAGCCAGACGACGGCUCCGAUGCUCGGUCUUUCUGUGAUGAACACCACAUUCAUUGAGAAUGUGACAGACACAACCACAUUCAGUGAGACCCCUACAGUCAGUGAGACCCCUACAGUCAGUGAGACCCCUACAUUCAAUGAGGAAGUGACAGCAUCCCCCCAUAUGAUCCUCAGCACCACGUCCCCAGGCUGCUCUGCCCUCUGUGAGGCCUGUGUCCCAGGGUCCUACUCCGACAAAGACACCCUCCUGUGUUCCUGCUGCCGUGAGCCAGGGUUGUGUCUGUUCACUGAGGCUUGCCUCCCAUGUUCCAGAGGGUUCUUUCAGAGUCUGGCUGGACAACAGCGAUGUCUGCCCUGCAGCCAGGGUUUUUACACCAAUUUCACCGGCAGCACUGUGUGUCAGUCCUGCCCCGCAGGCUCCUACAGCAACAACACAGGCUCCGACUCCUGCCAAAGUUGUUCUCCAGGUUUCUAUAUGUCUCAACAAAAUGCCACAUUGUGCAGUCCAUGUCAACGAGGAACAUUCUGCAACUCCUCCAGUUGUGCUCUGUGCCAGAUCUGUCCUGCUGGUACAGAGUCCCUCCAGGCUGCUGCCAAGGAGUGCACACCUUGUCGUCCAGAAGGGUUAUCUGGCACUAAAUGGAUUACAUCUAUAAACACACUAAAGGAACCGUAAUAGCAGACUCAG